CGCGUGGGAACGUGCCUUCUGGUUCGGAAUAACCCUGGGAAACUAGGGCUAAUACCGGAUACGCCCUUAUGGGGAAAGGUUUACUGCCGGAAGAUCGGCCCGCGUCUGAUUAGCUAGUUGGUGGGGUAACGGCCUACCAAGGCGACGAUCAGUAGCUGGUCUGAGAGGAUGAUCAGCCACACUGGGACUGAGACACGGCCCAGACUCCUACGGGAGGCAGCAGUGGGGAAUAUUGGACAAUGGGCGCAAGCCUGAUCCAGCCAUGCCGCGUGAGUGAUGAAGGCCUUAGGGUUGUAAAGCUCUUUUAUCCGGGACGAUAAUGACGGUACCGGAGGAAUAAGCCCCGGCUAACUUCGUG
This 358-nucleotide ribosomal RNA is filed under the name uncultured Alphaproteobacteria bacterium. Its description in RNAcentral is "bacterial SSU rRNA". It matches the Rfam family "Bacterial small subunit ribosomal RNA", at positions 114 to 507 of the family's 1533-position model. The record is from RNAcentral. Lineage: Bacteria; Pseudomonadati; Pseudomonadota; Alphaproteobacteria.